Poeciliopsis prolifica (blackstripe livebearer) is the source of this 281-nucleotide non-coding RNA. RefSeq annotates it as small Cajal body-specific RNA 6. NCBI's taxonomy places the organism in Eukaryota, Metazoa, Chordata, Actinopteri, Cyprinodontiformes, Poeciliidae. The record is from RefSeq and is a predicted model, not a curated record. The transcript has a single exon.
GGUCAGUGAUGAGCUGUAAAAGGUCUGAUUCCCACAAUCCUCUGCUGCCUCCGGCUCCCAGCAGCUCGCUCUCUGCUCCCAUCAUGCUCCAGUCAUGCAGCCAUGGGCCCAGCAGCUGCUGACACACAGGGUGUGACAUCACACAGGAUGUGACAUCACUGAGAGGCUGAGCUGAGAACCUGUAGCCUCCCUGUGAUGUUGAUCCAACAUGACCAAUUAGGGAGGAGCGUCAGGAGGCGGGAAGGAAGAGGAAGAUGAUCUCAAGUUUUCAAGCUGAGACC